GGAAGGAGAGUGACACACAGAGCAUUGAGUUCUCCUGAAUUGACCUCUAAGACAGGAAACUUGGAAAAGAGAAACUUAUUUUUAUGAUUUAACUUCACACACAUAUAUAGCCUCCACCCAGUGGCUGAUGGAAGCAAAGGCAGACACCCACAGCUACACUGAACUGAACUCUGGAAUCCAGUUGCAGAGAGGGAGGAGUGAUGAGCAAAGAGAUCAAGACCGAGCUGGAAGAGCUGACCUGAACAAGGGAAGCACAUGGAACCAAGACUGCUGUAUGGGAGGCCAGCAUGGGACUGAUCCAGACCCCUGAACUCGGGUGUCAGUGAGGAGGCCUUGGCACUCUAUGGGGCCUCUGGUAGUAGCUCAGGCUGCCUGAGGCUUCUUAUUCAGAUGGAGAAUGAACUCUUCACUCAUCAGCCUACUCAAGUUCCAGGGUCAGCUCACAGGACUCUGGGGACCAUGAGUUUGAAGCACAAGGUUUUGAUGUCCUAAGAAUCAAGUCAAAUGCAAGGUGGACCAUUUGACACUGAAUAACAUAUUGAUGAGCUCCUCCCUAAGAUCUUGAAACAAUCAUCUAUAGACAGUGAGAGGGUAACAGAGAAAAAGUGUAAAAUUCAACGGGAAUCCUCAGAAGACUACAGCAAACCGAACUGUAAUGUUUAUUCUGAUUGCAAGGCUAUUGUUUACAUGUGACUGACACGUUGUAAGACAUUCUGUCACCUAAACUUAAGCAGAUCCUGCCUUCUUUACUAAUGUUGUUAGUUAUUAAUUAUUUGCAGUAGCUUGAUUUUCCGCUAAUAUUUUCAAAAUCUCCUUGGCAAAAAUUGAAAACAAGUAAUGAAAACCAGAGACAGACAUUCCUCAAACUACAUAACAAUGCAUUGGAAGUUAGUUUGGGUCAUGGAAGAUAAAAGCCUCAAGGAAAAAAAUAGCCCUUCUAUUAUGGAAAACACUUGGAAAAUAUCUUUGAAAUGUUGGUGACACCUAGUUCUUCAUGAAGACAAUUAAUCAUGGUCCUGAUGGGGUGAAAACACAAGGGAAUUUUCAAUGAAAUGUUUUCUUUCUUCUUCACUGAUGCAAUAUUUGAAAUGGGAGAGGAGGGCAUGUUUUUAAGCAAAGUGCUUGUCAGCAUGAAUGGUUCUCUUCAGUAAAUCAUCUGGAGUCACAUAAACAAAAAUUGUGGACAUAAAAUUAAAAGAUGAAUUUAAUGCCUAUUUCCUUUUGAACUAGUAUUCUUGUGUGUGAAGGACUAAAUAAUGUCUCUGACAUGUUCUUAAACCUUCAUCCAAAGGACUCUAAUUAUAAUGAAAUGCUGCUUAGGAACAAUUAAAACCUGACCAUACUUUAUGAUCUAAUUACUUCCCCAUCAACCACUUAAAAUGGCCAAACUCAUUAAGAAUCACAGCAAGGCCUUAGCAUCCUUUUGUUCCAUACAUGGGGCUCAGUGUAUUCUUUCUCCUUUCAAACAAUCAUUCUUAUUUCCCAAAAAAGGUAAGAAUUUUGGUUGAAGUCACAGGGAUACCAGGUUGGAGCUCACAGCAAAACCCACACCCACUUGUUUCUCUGCUCAGAACCUGUGUUUUCUUCUUUGCAUAGAGGUAAAUGCCAUACAUGACAGAACAGGAUAGUUAGUCAACUGUACUCCUGAAUAUAGGAAACUCGGUCCCAAGGCAAACCAGCACAAACAAACCCAAGUGCACCACCCUAGCCUACACAGGCUUUCUGUUUCUAGAUCCCAGGUAAAGUCAAGGGGUAUUACGAUGACCUUGAUUGGCGUUAAGACAAAAAGAUAGGAUGCCAAGAUAUCUAGAUCCAGGGAUACAAUCUUAUUCUGUGUCCCAGAGACUGCCAAAUAAGUGCAUUGGGUCUCAGUUUCCUCAAUAUGUAAGUGACUUUAGUCCCAUUUAUUUAGUGAAUUCUAUUGUUUCAUUCAUUCAAGUAUUUUCUGAGCACUUACUGUGUACUGAGCACUGAAGAAAAGAGAACAACUGCACUCUUGUGGAGCUUUCUUGAAUGAAAUAUAUGCUAUUAUAGAAUUCACCGUGACCCCUUGUAGCAAAAACUGAAACAAAAUGACUUUCAAGCUUGGUCAAAGUAGCACCAGGGUUGGUGUGCAUUUGUUGUAUGCCUCCAGAGUGUUCUAUUUUGAUUUCUG
RNAcentral lists this long non-coding RNA (2155 nucleotides) under Cricetulus griseus (Chinese hamster). RNAcentral describes it as "lncRNA (ENSCGRG00015036834.1)". The record is from RNAcentral. Lineage: Eukaryota; Metazoa; Chordata; Mammalia; Rodentia; Cricetidae.